UGGGUAUCAAAAAUUAGAUCAAAAUCCAUCAAAAAGCCAAGUAAAUCUCUUCAAUCCUCCUUCAAUCUGCUAUGAAUUUUAAGCUUGAGUUUUUGCCAAUUUAUUGUCAGAAAAAUUUUUGAAAUCUUAGUUGAGCAAGUUCUUCCUUUUUUUUUUGAUCUUUCCAGCACCAUUAGGCCACCGUCAGUCACCGGAGCCCGUGGUUAUCAUCGUUCGAUCGUCGGAGACUGCCCCUUCAGUUGUGGGCGAUGUUGGCCAGGGAAGAGGAUCUCCCUUGCCUC
Molecule: long non-coding RNA, 281 nt
Filed under: Elaeis guineensis (African oil palm)
Lineage: Eukaryota; Viridiplantae; Streptophyta; Magnoliopsida; Arecales; Arecaceae
Description: long non-coding RNA (EGUI_LNC017723)
Source: RNAcentral